GACGAACGCUGGCGGCGUGCUUAACACAUGCAAGUCGAACGCUGAAGCUCAGCUUUUGUUGGGUGGAUGAGUGGCGAACGGGUGAGUAACACGUGAGUAACCUGCCUCCUUCUUUGGGAUAACGCCCGGAAACGGGUGCUAAUACUGGAUAUUCACUGGUCUUCGCAUGGGGGUUGGUGGAAAGGGUUUUUCUGGUGGGGGAUGGGCUCGCGGCCUAUCGGCUUGUUGGUGGGGUGAUGGCCUACCAAGGCUUUGACGGGUAGCCGGCCUGAGAGGGUGACCGGUCACGUUGGGACUGAGAUACGGCCCAGACUCCUACGGGAGGCAGCAGUGGGGAAUAUUGCAGAAUGGGCGCAAGCCUGAUGCAGCGACGCCGCGUGAGGGAUGGAGGCGUUCGGGUUGUGAACCUCUUUCGCUCAUGGUCAAGCCGCAACAAGGGUUGUGGUGAGGGUAGUGGGUAAAGAAGCGCCGGCUAACUACGUG
RNAcentral lists this ribosomal RNA (483 nucleotides) under uncultured bacterium. RNAcentral's name for it is "partial 16S ribosomal RNA". It matches the Rfam family "Bacterial small subunit ribosomal RNA", at positions 28 to 507 of the family's 1533-position model. The record is from RNAcentral.